RNAcentral lists this ribosomal RNA (464 nucleotides) under uncultured bacterium. RNAcentral describes it as "partial 16S ribosomal RNA". It matches the Rfam family "Bacterial small subunit ribosomal RNA", at positions 339 to 795 of the family's 1533-position model. The record is from RNAcentral.
CUACGGGGGGCUGCAGUGGGGAAUAUUGCACAAUGGGCGCAAGCCUGAUGCAGCCAUGCCGCGUGUAUGAAGAAGGCCUUCGGGUUGUAAAGUACUUUCAGCGGGGAGGAAGGGAGUAAAGUUAAUACCUUUGCUCAUUGACGUUACCCGCAGAAGAAGCACCGGCUAACUCCGUGCCAGCAGCCGCGGUAAUACGGAGGGUGCAAGCGUUAAUCGGAAUUACUGGGCGUAAAGCGCACGCAGGCGGUUUGUUAAGUCAGAUGUGAAAUCCCCGGGCUCAACCUGGGAACUGCAUCUGAUACUAGCAAGCUUGAGGCUCGUAGAGGGGGGUAGAAUUCCAGGUGUAGCGGUGAAAUGCGUAGAGAUCUGGAGGAAUACCGGUGGCGAAGGCGGCCCCCUGGACGAAGACUGACGCUCAGGUGCGAAAGCGUGGGGAGCAAACAGGAUUAGAUACCCUAGUAGUC